AGAGUUUGAUCAUGGCUCAGGAUGAACGCUAGCGGCAGGCUUAAUACAUGCAAGUCGUGGGGCAGCAUGUCCCGCAGCAAUGUGGGAUGAUGGCGACCGGCAAACGGGUGCGGAACACGUACACAACCUUCCUUUUAGUGGGGAAUAGCCCGGGGAAACCCGGAUUAAUACCCCGUAAUAUAAUGAAGUGGCAUCACUUUAUUAUUAUAGCAGCAAUGCGCUUAAAGAUGGGUGUGCGACUGAUUAGGCAGUUGGCGGGGUAACGGCCCACCAAACCUACGAUCAGUAACUGGUGUGAGAGCACGACCAGUCACACGGGCACUGAGACACGGGCCCGACUCCUACGGGAGGCAGCAGUAAGGAAUAUUGGUCAAUGGACGCAAGUCUGAACCAGCCAUGCCGCGUGGAGGAUGAAGGUCCUCUGGAUUGUAAACUUCUUUUAUCUGGGAAGAAAUCCACGAAUUCUUUUGUGGUUGACGGUACCAGAUGAAUAAGCACCGGCUAACUCCGUGCCAGCAGCCGCGGUAAUACGGAGGGUGCAAGCGUUAUCCGGAUUCACUGGGUUUAAAGGGUGCGUAGGUGGGCAGGUAAGUCAGUGGUGAAAUCUCCGGGCUUAACUCGGAAACUGCCAUUGAUACUAUCUGUCUUGAAUACCGUGGAGGUCAGCGGAAUAUGUCAUGUAGCGGUGAAAUGCUUAGAUAUGACAUAGAACACCAAUUGCGAAGGCAGCUGGCUACACGAAUAUUGACACUGAUGCACGAAAGCGUGGGGAUCAAACAGGAUUAGAUACCCUAGUAGUCC
RNAcentral lists this ribosomal RNA (801 nucleotides) under uncultured bacterium. RNAcentral's name for it is "bacterial SSU rRNA". It matches the Rfam family "Bacterial small subunit ribosomal RNA", at positions 8 to 796 of the family's 1533-position model. The record is from RNAcentral.